This 202-nucleotide unclassified non-coding RNA is filed under the name Hevea brasiliensis (rubber tree). Lineage: Eukaryota; Viridiplantae; Streptophyta; Magnoliopsida; Malpighiales; Euphorbiaceae. The record is from RNAcentral.
GCAUAGAAUAGAGGCAUCCACACAUAUAUUCGCUAUUCAGUGGCUAAAACAAGAUAGAAAAACAAUUGGCUUGGAUUUUCUGAUGUUAAUGUCUGAUAUCUAACUUGGCUAGACAAGUGGCUCAGAAGAAACUCUCUCCCUUUCUAAUUUGAUUUUAUUUCUCCUCCCAUAAGUUCAAUUUUAGGAUAAAUUUUAGUUUGGA